This is a long non-coding RNA of Rhinopithecus roxellana (golden snub-nosed monkey), 656 nucleotides long. RefSeq lists it as uncharacterized. The transcript has 4 exons. NCBI's taxonomy places the organism in Eukaryota, Metazoa, Chordata, Mammalia, Primates, Cercopithecidae. The record is from RefSeq and is a predicted model, not a curated record.
GCUGGAGCCGGGGACGCCGAGCGACUGCGGGGCUUCCGUCAGCGUCCUGCUAUCCGGCUGCCCGCCGUGCUCCCUGGUAGUGUCCGUGGACGCGCAGGCCUCGAAGAACCUCCUCGCGGUGGGCCCCCGAGCGCAGGAGAGGUGUCAAAGCGCCGGCGCGUCUCCAGAGCCGCGGGAGGAAGGCUGUAACGGCAGCCCCAUCGUAGACAGGCACAUUCGCAUCCUGAGCCCUGGAUCUCUGAAAAGCAGACCAGAAUUUGGAAGCUGGAAGGAACCUUAGAUCGUCCAUUCUGGGUGUCUCUCUUCGCUGGCGUUUUCCAACGAGAGGAACCUACAAGUGUCAAGGAAAAAAGAACAGCUAACCACAGGGCAGGCCACGGGCAAGAUAUCUCAGUGUUCUCCGCUCUCAGGUCAGGAAUGCAAAAUGAUACAGCAACUUUGGAAGACAGUUUGGCUUUCUUACAAAACUGAACAUACUCCUAUCAGAAGAUCCAGCCAUUGCACUUCUUAGUGUUUACCCAAAUGAGCUGAAAACUUAUGUCCACACAGAAACCUACACGUGGAUGUUUACAGCAGCUUUAUUUGUAAUUGCCAAAACUUGAAAGCAACCUGGAUGUCCUUUAGCAGUGUUGGAGUUGAAGCCUGGUGGGAGGUGA